This 492-nucleotide ribosomal RNA is filed under the name uncultured bacterium. RNAcentral's name for it is "partial 16S ribosomal RNA". It matches the Rfam family "Bacterial small subunit ribosomal RNA", at positions 29 to 507 of the family's 1533-position model. The record is from RNAcentral.
AGUGAACGCUGGCGGUAGGCCUAACACAUGCAAGUCGAACGGCAGCACAGUAAGAGCUUGCUCUUACGGGUGGCGAGUGGCGGACGGGUGAGGAAUACAUCGGAAUCUACUUUUUCGUGGGGGACAACGUAGGGAAACUUACGCUAAUACCGCAUACGACCUACGGGUGAAAGCAGGGGAUCUUCGGACCUUGCGCGAUUGAAUGAGCCGAUGUCGGAUUAGCUAGUUGGCGGGGUAAAGGCCCACCAAGGCGACGAUCCGUAGCUGGUCUGAGAGGAUGAUCAGCCACACUGGAACUGAGACACGGUCCAGACUCCUACGGGAGGCAGCAGUGGGGAAUAUUGGACAAUGGGCGCAAGCCUGAUCCAGCAAUACCGCGUGAGUGAAGAAGGCCUUCGGGUUGUAAAGCCCUUUUGUUGGGAAAGAAAAGCAGCAGGUUAAUCCCCCGCUGUUCUGACGGUACCCAAAGAAUAAGCACCGGCUAACUUCGUG